UACAGAGGUCCCAAGCGUUGUUCGGAUUCACUGGGCGUAAAGGGUGCGUAGGCGGUCGGGUAAGUCUGACGUGAAAUCUCCAAGCUCAACUUGGAAAUGGCGUCGGAUACUAUUCGGCUUGAGGAGUGGAGGGGAGACUGGAAUUCUCGGUGUAGCAGUGAAAUGCGUAGAUAUCGAGAGGAACACCAGUGGCGAAGGCGAGUCUCUGGACAGUUCCUGACGCUGAGGCACGAAGGCCAGGGGAGCAAACGGG
This 253-nucleotide ribosomal RNA is filed under the name uncultured bacterium. Its description in RNAcentral is "partial 16S ribosomal RNA". It matches the Rfam family "Bacterial small subunit ribosomal RNA", at positions 524 to 776 of the family's 1533-position model. The record is from RNAcentral.